Macaca mulatta (Rhesus monkey) is the source of this 3245-nucleotide non-coding RNA. NCBI's taxonomy places the organism in Eukaryota, Metazoa, Chordata, Mammalia, Primates, Cercopithecidae. The record is from RefSeq and is a predicted model, not a curated record.
GCCUACGUCGGCGCUCCUCAGGGCCCCAAGCUCCCCAGGCCGAACUUGGGGCAAGUGGAGGGUCGGCGGAGACAGAGCAGCCCCGACAGGCCACAGGGUUGGAUUGCUCAAGGGUUGUGCUGAGACCCAGCAAGGCUAGAGGCUAGUUUCGAAGCUGUAGCUCAGGCUGAGUCUCAAGGCGGGCGACGACUGGACGGCCAGACCGGCGAGCUCUUGACAGGUUUGUGGCCUGAUUGUUUGGAUUUGGUGCUUUUCACCUGUGGAUGCGGAAUGAAGCCAUGUCAGAGGGGUUGUUUGUGUUUAAGCGUGCAUGUUAUAGGCUAUGGGAGUGAUAAUCUUGCCUCUCCCCCUCUGAGUUCAGGAACAAUCAAAGAAAUAAGCAAAGGUGCCAAGCAGGCUCCUGAUGGGCACCAGCGAGCUUGGGGACAGAGCAGUCCAAGCAUAGAAACCCUGGCAAGCCUGGCCCUUCCUAGAAAGUCCUUUCUCUCUCUCUUCCACCCUGGUUUGUUGCUCCAUAUACAAAAAAUAUUUGAAUGUCGCUCUUCCGCCCAAGGUCAGCCCUGGGCAGUGGGUGGUGGGGGUGACACCCGAGUCUGCUGGGUGCCUAAGGAUCUCCAUCAGUUAGAUGGCCAAGAUGAGAGGGGACGACAACCCGUACCUCAUGUAGGCUUUCCCGCAGCAGGUGUUUUUAUGAUGGGCAAAUUGGGCUUCCAGCCUCUCGGUUUCAGGGUUUCCUUCACCCGACUCCCCAAUGUGCCCGACCUCCCUGGGCACCUAGGAUGUCCACCUGCAUCUCAGCCAGAGCUGCCACGUCAGGAGCCCGUGAUUCACUAGUUUUUGCCAGUUGGUUGUGAUACACAAUGUCAAAAGUGUCAUUAAGGCACAGCCGAAGGCGCAAGCUGAGAGGAAAAGACUCCACAGUUAAGAGGACAUGCCACCACUGCCACCCAAUUUAAACUGCCGCAGGCUGACAAAUGAGAAAUCGCCGUGUUUGGACGGUCCCAACAUCCAGUCCCAAGGAAGCUUCAAGCCGAGUGGCCAAUCCACAUGUUGGACUACAGUACCCAGAAGUAAUUUCGCAGAAGAUGACUCAAGACCGGCCUCUGCUUGCCGUGCAGGAGGCCCUGAAGAAGUGCUUCCUGGUGGUGGAGGAGCAGCAGGGCCUGUGGCAGAGUGCCCUGCAGGACUGCCAGCCCCUCCUGUCUUCCCUCAGCAACCUGGCGGAGCAGCUGCAGGCCGCACAGAACCUGCGGUUCGAGGAUGUGCCGGCGCUUCGGGCCUUCCCAGACUUAAAAGAGCGGCUGAGGCGCAAGCAGCUGGCUGCUGGUGACAUCGUCCUGGACAAGCUAGGGGAAAGGCUAGCCAUCCUCCUCAAGGUGCGAGACGUGGUCAGCAGCCAUGUGGAGCGAGUGUUUCAGAUCUAUGAGCAGCAUGCAGACACAGUUGGCAUUGAUGCUGUCCUGCAGCCUUCAGCAGUGAGCCCCUCUGUGGCUGACAUGUUGGAAUGGUUGCAGGAUAUUGAGAGACAUUAUCGAAAGUCAAAGGUACCUGAAUAGAAAGUAUCUUCUUUCCUCUAUCCGGUGGGGAGACUUGGCAAACAUCCAAGCUUUGCCCAAGGCCUGGGACCGAAUUUCAAAAGACGAACACCAAGAUCUUGUACAAGAUAUCCUAUUGAGUGUUUCCUUCUUCCUGGAACAGUAAGGAAGCUGUGCGUAUCUGGAGACCAUGGGCACCACAGUGGAAGACUGACAUUCUAAACCCUGAUGUUUUUAAAGAAACGUCAGUAUUUCAGUCUCACAUAUUUGAAAUAUCAGUGCCUUGAACCUGAGGACUGGGUCUUGGGGAGGAUUAGUGCCUAGAUGUCUGAUGUUGGAGCUGCAGCAUGCCAGGCCAUGGCUGAGAGUAUGUGAGCCACACCUUGCCCUUUUCUGAGGCUCAGGGAAGUGGAUGGAGAUAGAGACACAGCAGGAAAGACGGUGCUGAAGAACAUAGUGCCUUGCCUCCACUGUAGACUUGAAGAGGUGGGGAAGCAAGGACAGGAGGCAAAGAGCCACACUGCCUUUGGCAUCAUCCAGAGCAUUGUCUGGUUGACACCAGGUCCUGGUUUUGUGUCUUUUGUCAAUAUCUGAAUCCUUGACAAAAGAAAAAGUGAUUUUGAUGAUUUAAAGAAAUAAGGGUGAUUUUGACAGAAAAUAUAUUUUAAAAAUAGUGACCAAUUGCAAUAGUUAUCCUCAAGCCAAUUUCCAGAGCCUGCCACCAGGGGGAGGUGGUGCAGCAUGAAUCAUUCUGAAUGCUUUGUCUUUGAAGUGUUCCCCUAUUGCUGUUACUGUCUCAGAGGAAGUAACUGGGCAUGGUGAGACUCCUGACAUGACAGGAGGUUUUUUGGCCAAAGCUGGCAUCUGACUUGCCACAUUCCUCUGAGUCUGUAGUACCUGCAGGGGUGGGAGAACGCCAGCCCAGAGUCAGUCCAUCAGGGUUACAUUUCCAAGGCCCGCUGCCUUCAUCUAUGUAAUGGCCGUGUUACUUUCAGACCUUUCAACUUCCCAGGGUGUUGUAGAAAUCUUGGUCAUUGAAUGUAAAGGGACUUAGUAAAGGGUAUAGAUGUUUUUAAAAAACGAAAAUAACUUUUUUUCUUGUAAGUGAUAAGCUUUUAUAAAGAUCAUAGGAAAACUAGAAAAAAAUGUAAAAUGUAGAAAAUUGUAAAACAAACUUCAUUAGAGAUAUUUUGAUAUGUAUCUUUUCAGUGUUUAUUUACAAAUUUUUUCUUUUAACAUAGAUAGGGUCUCACUAUAUUGCCCAGGUCAAACUCCUGAGCUCAAGGGAUCUUCCCACCUGAGCCUCCCAAAAUGUUGGAAACACAGGCGUGAGCCACUGCUCCCGGCUAAUUCACAAAUUUUUUUAAAGGACAAACAUGGUAUCAUCAAUACAUACUGUUAGGUUGUCUUUUUUAAAAACCUAAUAUAAUUUGUUCAUCUUUUUAUAAAUAUAGCUCAACACAGUUAUAUUCCUUUUGUGAAUGUAUUAUAUCUACAAUUUACCUUUUUUCUUACAUUUUACAUGCAUUUUCCCAAAUCUUUUUGUUUUCCUAUCUGUAAAAGUAAUACAUUCUGAUUAUGAAAAUUUAAAACGCUACAUAGAAAUGUACUAUUAUCUAUCUGCCAGAUAAUUAUUAUUAAUAAUAUGUAUUUAUUUUUCUAGGAAUUAAAAUCUAUCAUAUAAGUAUUGCAAAUAAAACUUAAAAAGCG